AGUGAACGCUGGCGGUAGGCCUAACACAUGCAAGUCGAACGGCAGCACAGUAAGAGCUUGCUCUUACGGGUGGCGAGUGGCGGACGGGUGAGGAAUACAUCGGAAUCUACUUUUUCGUGGGGGAUAACGUAGGGAAACUUACGCUAAUACCGCAUACGACCUACGGGUGAAAGCAGGGGAUCUUCGGACCUUGCGCGAUUGAAUGAGCCGAUGUCGGAUUAGCUAGUUGGCGGGGUAAAGGCCCACCAAGGCGACGAUCCGUAGCUGGUCUGAGAGGAUGAUCAGCCACACUGGAACUGAGACACGGUCCAGACUCCUACGGGAGGCAGCAGUGGGAAAUAUUGGACAAUGGGCGCAAGCCUGAUCCGGCCAUACCGCGUGGGUGAAGAAGGCCUUCGGGUUGUAAAGCCCUUUUGUUGGGAAAGAAAAGCAGCAGGUUAAUACCCCGCUGUUCUGACGGUACCCAAAGAAUAAGCACCGGCUAACUUCGUG
RNAcentral lists this ribosomal RNA (492 nucleotides) under uncultured bacterium. RNAcentral's name for it is "partial 16S ribosomal RNA". It matches the Rfam family "Bacterial small subunit ribosomal RNA", at positions 29 to 507 of the family's 1533-position model. The record is from RNAcentral.